Siniperca chuatsi (mandarin fish) is the source of this 393-nucleotide long non-coding RNA. RefSeq lists it as uncharacterized. The record is from RefSeq and is a predicted model, not a curated record. The transcript has 3 exons. Lineage: Eukaryota; Metazoa; Chordata; Actinopteri; Centrarchiformes; Sinipercidae.
GAGAAAUUGAAAAAUCACUAGAAGCGCAUGAACAGUUUUGCAGUGGCUGGGUGCAAGAUCUGCUAAUUCACAAGCAAAGUUGGACACUGGCAAACUGCAAGAGCAAAGGCCAGAACAAGGGAUGUUGCCUGCAAGACCGACCCACCAAAGAGACACACUGGCUCUUCAGCCUCACAUCAGAAGUGCAGAUCCUGAUGAAGCUCAGGUGUUCCUGGACCCAUCAGGGGAGGAAGUUAUUGCUUGGCAGGUGUCAUGUCAAUUGACGAGCUGAAGACAACACAGCGGCCAGCAACAUCAGGAAGGUCUUAUCCACUGAAAGAUGCGUCAGGAUGAACAUUGUCACCUGAGAGCUCCAAUACCAGCUGACACUUCAGUAUACCAGAAACCCUUUAC